AGGACGAACGCUGGCGGCGUGCUUAACACAUGCAAGUCGAACGGGGUGUGCCGGGUAGUAAUACCUUGUACAUCUAGUGGCGAACGGGUGCGUAACACGUGAGUAACCUACCCCGAAGUCUGGAAUAACACCGGGAAACCGAUGCUAAUACCAGAUGCCCUCCUCUGAUCGCAUGAUCGGUUGAGGAAAGUUUUUCGCUUCGGGAGGGGCUCGCGGCCUACCAGCUUGUUGGUGAGGUAACGGCUCACCAAGGCUUCGACGGGUAGCUGGUCUGAGAGGAUGAUUAGCCACACUGGGACUGAGACACGGCCCAGACUCCUACGGGCGGCAGC
This 332-nucleotide ribosomal RNA is filed under the name uncultured prokaryote. RNAcentral describes it as "bacterial SSU rRNA". It matches the Rfam family "Bacterial small subunit ribosomal RNA", at positions 26 to 352 of the family's 1533-position model. The record is from RNAcentral.